CGGGUUAUUGAAAGGGUCCAUUAUAGGUUGCACGUUUAAAGGGAUUUUACCCAUGUGUAGCUGCACGUUCUAUUAAUAAUGGACCGAAAGAGAUUGACCAAUUCUAGUUUGAAAGAAGUGUACGUUGCAUGAAAGAAUUAGUCUAGAUGUUUACCACCUUUUUAGGAGUGAAUUAGUAUUUUAUUGUUAUUUAUCAUUCCCACGUAUGGGAUAUGUAAGGCUAUAUAUAUAGCUCAAUUCCUUUUUGUUUUAUCAAAUAGUGCAAGCUUUCCUUUCACGUUCUGCAUAUCAAUUUCACAUUCACAUACAGUGAGAGUUUGAGUGUGAGUUGUGAGUGUGUGUGGAGUGGGACCUGAACCAACAUAUAUAUAUAUGUAUGUAUGUAUAGGUGUUUGUGAGGGGGUGAGGCCUGGCUUGGGCGGCUGUGGGCGGACGAAGAGGACGGCCCUGGACCGGCGACGGAGCAAGGGGGUGGCAAGGAUGGGGCGGCGGCAAGGGGAUGGGCCUGGGGACGAGCCCCAUACCGUCCGGUCUAAGUAUCCCUAUUAUGCCAUGAUCAGUUAGCCUGGUACUUCCAACACCUCAUGCUACUCAUCCUAAUCCAGAGAUUGCUGCUUUAAAAGAAAUAAAAUGGAUACAAUGGAGGCAUGAGACAUUGAGACGUGACUCAUGAAGUGAACAUGUAGACAAGAUGCAUAGGGAUUUCAGCUCUUAAUGAACGUUUUAAACCUCGUACUGGUUUAACACUUAAUGAUUCAGAUUGUUUGUUUCACAAGAUGUCUGAAUGGUUAAGCAUUAUAUUAAGUCUGAAUUGGUCAGACAUUUGUCUCUAAAUGGUUAAGCAUCUUUUAUUGAUUCAACACUUAAUAGUUCA
Helianthus annuus (common sunflower) is the source of this 874-nucleotide long non-coding RNA. RefSeq lists it as uncharacterized. The transcript has 2 exons. NCBI's taxonomy places the organism in Eukaryota, Viridiplantae, Streptophyta, Magnoliopsida, Asterales, Asteraceae. The record is from RefSeq and is a predicted model, not a curated record.